GAAACGAAAAAAAAGUGACAAAAAAAUAAGUAGGAGCAUCAAAAGGAUAAAAGCUGAUAUGGUAGAGAUCAGCGAGGGACAAAAACGCAUAAGAGAGGGACAAAGGGAAGUCAGGGAAAAAUUUCAAGAAAUAAGUGAAGAGGCUGCCAAAUUAAAAGAGGAGACUCAUCUGAUCUCUAAGCAGAGUGCCGCAAAUGAACUCAGGCUUAAUCUUAUGUUCCAAAUCAUCAAAGCAAGAGCAGAGAAUGAUUAUGCCAAGGACGCCCUCCUCACUCAAAACUUACGUGAUCUAAUGGGAAGCAGAGCCAUAGCAUGAGCAAGCCUUCGUAGGAGAAGCAAGAAUUAAUCCUGUUUCUUAGCCCCCCCCCCCCCCCCCCCCCCCCCAAGAACUAUAUAUCAUCUACUGUGUCUACUCUUCUGUUCAAUCUGCAAUAAAGAAGUUGUAUGCAAUUGACUCCGAGUCCAAGGAGUUUUUCUUCUACCUUCAUUUUUGUUUGUUAUUACAAUGUUUUUGUAUUAAGAUAAUUAUGUUUUAUAUUCACGUCAAGAAGGUUAUUAUUA
Long non-coding RNA from Populus trichocarpa (black cottonwood), 561 nucleotides. RefSeq lists it as uncharacterized. The transcript is spliced from 2 exons. NCBI's taxonomy places the organism in Eukaryota, Viridiplantae, Streptophyta, Magnoliopsida, Malpighiales, Salicaceae. The record is from RefSeq and is a predicted model, not a curated record.